AACGAACGCUGGCGGCAUGCCUAACACAUGCAAGUCGAACGAGACCUUCGGGUCUAGUGGCGCACGGGUGCGUAACGCGUGGGAACCUGCCCUUAGGUUCGGAAUAACUCCCCGAAAGGGGUGCUAAUACCGGAUAAUGUCUUCGGACCAAAGAUUUAUCGCCUUUGGAUGGGCCCGCGUUGGAUUAGCUUGUUGGUAGGGUAAAAGCCUACCAAGGCGACGAUCCAUAGCUGGUCUGAGAGGAUGAUCAGCCACACUGGGACUGAGACACGGCCCAGACUCCUACGGGAGGCAGCAGUGGGGAAUAGUGGACAAUGGGCGAAAGCCUGAUCCAGCAAUGCCGCGUGAGUGAUGAAGGCCUUAGGGUUGUAAAGCGCUUUUACCCGGGAUGAUAAUGACAGUACCGGGAGAAUAAGCUCCGGCUAACUCCGUG
This 433-nucleotide ribosomal RNA is filed under the name uncultured bacterium. RNAcentral describes it as "partial 16S ribosomal RNA". It matches the Rfam family "Bacterial small subunit ribosomal RNA", at positions 29 to 507 of the family's 1533-position model. The record is from RNAcentral.